ACAGCAUUCCCAUUUCAACCCUCUUUUGUUCUCAACUACAUAUAUACGAUGGCUGCUUCUUCUUCAGUUCGUUUGUUUGCAACUGUCUCACUCUUGGUGAUGCUCUUCAUGGCCUCUGGGAUGGGAAUAAUGGCCGCGGGUCCGAGAAUGUGCUCGUCGCGGAGCCAAACGUUCAAAGGGGUAUGUAUUUUUGCCAACGGCAACUGCAAUACAGUUUGCAAGUCUGAGGGGUUUUCCAAUGGGAGCUGCACCGGUUCCUACAACCCCAUCUGCACCUGCAACAAGCCUUGCUGCUAAUAACCAACAUUGCUUGCUUCAACUUCAAUUCCAUCACUGUUAUAUAUAUAUAUAUCUAAAUAAAUAAAUGUCCCCCCCAAAUAAUAUAAUCCAAACAUGCAUGCAUGUUGUUUGGAUUUGGUUGUUAUUACAUAUAUAUAUGUGUCAACAUGUUGUGUGUUUCGUUUUCUUGUCUCAAGUUAUGCAAUUUCUGUGUUUUCGU
Long non-coding RNA from Ipomoea nil (Japanese morning glory), 499 nucleotides. RefSeq lists it as uncharacterized. The record is from RefSeq and is a predicted model, not a curated record. Lineage: Eukaryota; Viridiplantae; Streptophyta; Magnoliopsida; Solanales; Convolvulaceae. The transcript has 2 exons.